CGGACGGGUGAGUAAUGUCUGGGAAACUGCCCGAUGGAGGGGGAUAACUACUGGAAACGGUAGCUAAUACCGCAUAAUGUCUGCGGACCAAAGCGGGGGACCUCCGGGCCUCGCGCCAUCAGAUGAACCCAUAUGGGAUUAGCUUGUAGGUAAGGUAACGGCUUACCUAGGCGACGAUCCCUAGCUGGUCUGAGAGGAUGAUCAGCCACACUGGGACUGAGACACGGUCCAG
This 232-nucleotide ribosomal RNA is filed under the name uncultured bacterium. RNAcentral's name for it is "partial 16S ribosomal RNA". It matches the Rfam family "Bacterial small subunit ribosomal RNA", at positions 99 to 334 of the family's 1533-position model. The record is from RNAcentral.